Molecule: transfer RNA, 80 nt
Filed under: Victivallis vadensis
Lineage: Bacteria; Pseudomonadati; Lentisphaerota; Lentisphaeria; Victivallales; Victivallaceae
Rfam family: tRNA
About the family: Transfer RNA (tRNA) molecules are approximately 80 nucleotides in length. Their secondary structure includes four short double-helical elements and three loops (D, anti-codon, and T loops).
Source: Rfam by way of RNAcentral
GCGCGAGUGGCGGAAUUGGCAGACGCGCCGGAUUUAGGUUCCGGUUCUUCGGAGUAGGGGUUCAAGUCCCCUCUCGCGCA